ACACAUGCAAGUCGAGGGGCAGCAUGACCUAGCAAUAGGUUGAUGGCGACCGGCGCACGGGUGAGUAACACGUAUCCAACCUACCGGUUAUUCCGGGAUAGCCUUUCGAAAGAAAGAUUAAUACCGGAUAGUAUAACGAGAAGGCAUCUUCUUGUUAUUAAAGAAUUUCGAUAACCGAUGGGGAUGCGUUCCAUUAGUUUGUUGGCGGGGUAACGGCCCACCAAGACAUCGAUGGAUAGGGGUUCUGAGAGGAAGGUCCCCCACAUUGGAACUGAGACACGGUCCAAACUCCUACGGGAGGCAGCAGUGAGGAAUAUUGGUCAAUGGACGAGAGUCUGAACCAGCCAAGUAGCGUGAAGGAUGACUGCCCUAUGGGUUGUAAACUUCUUUUAUAUGGGAAUAAAGUGAGCCACGUGUGGCUUUUUGUAUGUACCAUACGAAUAAGGAUCGGCUAACUCCGUGCCAGCAGCCGCGGUAAUACGGAGGAUCCGAGCGUUAUCCGGAUUUAUUGGGUUUAAAGGGAGCGUAGGCGGACUAUUAAGUCAGCUGUGAAAGUUUGCGGCUCAACCGUAAAAUUGCAGUUGAUACUGGUCGUCUUGAGUGCAGUAGAGGUAGGCGGAAUUCGUGGUGUAGCGGUGAAAUGCUUAGAUAUCACGAAGAACUCCGAUUGCGAAGGCAGCUUACUGGACUGUAACUGACGCUGAUGCUCGA
RNAcentral lists this ribosomal RNA (711 nucleotides) under uncultured Bacteroidales bacterium. RNAcentral's name for it is "bacterial SSU rRNA". It matches the Rfam family "Bacterial small subunit ribosomal RNA", at positions 51 to 756 of the family's 1533-position model. The record is from RNAcentral. Lineage: Bacteria; Pseudomonadati; Bacteroidota; Bacteroidia; Bacteroidales.